CAGGCCUAACACAUGCAAGUCGUGCGAGAAAGUAUCUUCGGAUAUGAGUAGAGCGGCGGACGGGUGAGUAACGCGUAGGAAUCUACCUAGUAGAAGGGGAUAGCCCGGGGAAACCCGGAUUAAUACCGUAUACCUCCUUCGGGAGAAAGAAGGCCUCUCUUUGAAGCUUUCGCUAUUAGAUGAGCCUGCGUAAGAUUAGCUUGUUGGUGAGGUAAAGGCUCACCAAGGCUACGAUCUUUAGCUGGUCUGAGAGGACGAUCAGCCACAUUGGGACUGAGACACGGCCCAGACUCCUACGGGAGGCAGCAGUGGGGAAUAUUGGACAAUGGGCGCAAGCCUGAUCCAGCCAUACCGCGUGUGUGAAGAAGGCCUUCGGGUUGUAAAGCACUUUAAGCAGGGAGAAAAAGUUAUAAGUUAAUACCUUAUAACCGUGAUGUUACCUGCAGAAUAAGCACCGGCUAAUUCCGUACCAGCAGCCGCGGUAAUACGGAAGGCGCAAGCGUUAAUCGGAAUUACUGGGCGUAAAGCGCGCGUAGGUGGUUUGUUAGGUUGGAUGUGAAAGCCCUGGGCUCAACCUAGGAACUGCAUCCAAAACUAACUCACUAGAGUACGAUAGAGGGAGGUAGAAUUCAUAGUGUAGCGGUGGAAU
This 649-nucleotide ribosomal RNA is filed under the name uncultured bacterium. RNAcentral describes it as "bacterial SSU rRNA". It matches the Rfam family "Bacterial small subunit ribosomal RNA", at positions 43 to 687 of the family's 1533-position model. The record is from RNAcentral.